Lepidothrix coronata (blue-crowned manakin) is the source of this 1677-nucleotide long non-coding RNA. RefSeq lists it as uncharacterized. Lineage: Eukaryota; Metazoa; Chordata; Aves; Passeriformes; Pipridae. The transcript is spliced from 3 exons. The record is from RefSeq and is a predicted model, not a curated record.
GUGCGGUGCCCGCCGGGCCGCCCACAACACACCCGGCGAGGGAGGGAGGGAGGGAGGGAGGGAGGGGCGGCUGAGGACCUGCAGGAUAUGGUGCAACUGUGAGGGUACAGACGGGACAGGGGAUCCACACAUGAAACCAAAGGGGACCCACCGGGCGGGACGUGGCUCAGGAGGAAAGUGAGAGACGUGCAGGGGAACGUGGAGCCCAGAGUUUUUCAAUCUGUGGGAACUAUUCAGCUGAGGAAGGAGACAGCAUAACUCACAAAUUACUCAGUCAGAACAUAACAUUUUCGAGGAAAAAAAAAAUCUGAUGCAAUAGCAUCCAGAUUCCUCUACAUUCAUGGGUGAAACAAUACAGAAAUGAGGAGAGGAACAGGAGGAGACCAGUGUGGUGAAAAGGUGGAGGGAAGAAUGUAAUCCUCACUGCUCAUCUCUGUCAUGAAUUAAAUUCUGCUCUCCAGUUUGCCUUUUGUACUGUAGAAGCCACAGCUUUCCAGCUCCAGGCUCGGACCUACAAUAAAGCAUUGCAGAGGCAUUCUCUUCCUGGAAAUUGUCUUCUUUUCCAGGAUUUCUUGCAAGCUUUCUACUUCAUGCACUUCAGGUCUGCAGCAGCUGUCCCUGGAAUGACACCAGUUUUGGGGGGAUGCUGUUAAUUUAGUGGUGAUGGCUCAAACACUGAAGUGUUUGUCAGAAGGUCUAUGGACUGAGGAUCAUGCUGUAGAAAGAGGCUGGCUGAAACUUCUGAUGCUUCUUGGUGCAGUUUUGUCCCAUUUAUUAUUAUUAUUAUUAUUAUUAUUAUUAUUAUUAUUAUUAUUAUUAUUAUUAUUAUUAUUAUUAUUAUUUCCCUUGCAGUAGCUCUUAGCAGGUCAGUAAGAUCAGAGCUGCAUCACACUGAAGGUGCUGAGCCACAGGGCUGCAGCCUGGAACAGCACAAGAGGGGCAGAGCUGGGGCACAGGGAAAGGAAGGUGAUGCCAGAAGUUGACAGUUGCAGCAAUGCCUGGGGUGCUGUGGGCAGUGUGUUGGAGGGGAGCUGGAGAAGAAGUGAGGGGCUCCAGAGCAAACAGGGUGGUGUGGGAAGAGAGCACAGAGGUGGUGUGGGGAGGUCUCUGGGGGGUAGGAAGGGACCUUGCCUAAAAGACUGACUUAAGUAGUGUUGCAAUAAAGGCUGCAAAAGAGAGAAGUAAAUUUGAAAUUUAUUUCUGAGCAUGGCAAGUGCUCUCUUUUCCUUUCCUAGCCCCAGGUCCCUCUUUAUUCAGCCUCACACCAUGCGCCAGCAACUCACAAGUUGUACCUGGCAGAGGCCAGGUUUGAAUCUAUUGCUCUCUACUUGCUGUAAAACACCAGUACUUAUAAAAUGUCAGAGGGGGACAAUGUCUCAACUCCAAGAGAGGUUGGCUCUCCUUCCGUCUGCCCCAGCUCUCAGACCAGUCUCGACACUUUGCUUCAUUUUAGCAUCAAAAACGAUUGCAACACGCUUUCCACCUCCUGAAUCUGCUGCUGGAUGCUCUGCUUGGCAGUGCCGGGGCCCAAAGCUCCCCAGGCAGUCCCAGGCCCUGUCUCCUGAACUCCUUCGCUUCUUUUGUUACAGACCAGAACCCUCCCCCCCGAAUGCUCCCUCACCCUAUUCCCAUGUGACAUGGUGAUGCUCAGGUUUUUGUUGGUCUUCUGCUGAUUUU